AUGGACACGCGAUCAGAUUCGCUACCGCAGAGCUCUAGCUCCGGAGCGCGCCAAGUUGAAGGCCAAAGUCGAGGUUGGGAUGCCCGAUGCCUGGCGCGGGGAGACGGAGGAAGCAAAGUGCUGGUAACUAAAGCAGCGCCUGCUGCUCGCCUUUUUUCUACUGAAGAAGGGUUGUCUCACUCCCGUUAGCUUAAUAUCCUUGCCCAAAAUGUAAAGUCUCCAGUGUACUUGUGAAUCCGGUUUUGUUCAUUGAUAAAUGUGUGAGUUAGAAGACUCACACAUUUAUCCUUAGGAAAGUUAUUUGAGUAACCUUUUUAAUCCUCAGUUUUCUCACCUGUGAAAUGGAGAAAUGGCACUUUCUCAUAAGGUUUAUGGUUAAAGUGCUGUAACCGCCCAAUAGGUUCACCUUGCUCACUGCCUAAACAGAGUCGAUUUAUCAAGACAGGGGAAUUGCAAUAGAGAAAGAGUAAUUCACACAAAGCUGGCUGUGAGGGAGACCGGAGUUUUAUUAUUACUCAAAUCAGUCUCCCUAGCUUUCAGGGAUCAGAGUUUUUAAGGAUAAUUUGGUGGGUAGGGGUCAGUGAGUCGGGAGUGCUGAUUGGUAGGCUAGGAGAUGAACUCACAGGGAGUCAAAGCUGUCCUCUUGUGCUGAGUCAGUUGCCAGGUGGGGGUCAUAAGACCAGAUGAGCCAGUUUAUUCAUCUGGGUGGUGCCAGCUGAUCCAUCGAGUGCAGUGUCUGUGAAAUAUCUUAAGCACUGAUCUUAGGUUUUACAAUAGUUGAUGUUAUCCCCAGGAGCAAUUUGAGGUUUAGAAUCUUGCAGCCUCUAGCUGCAUGACUCCUAAACCAUAAUUUCUAAUUUUGUGGCUAAUUUGUUAGUCCUGAAAAGGCAGUCUAGUUCCUGGGCAAGAAGGGGGUUUGUUUGGGAAAGGGCUGGUAUUGUCUUUGUUUCAAAGCUACACUAUAAACUAAGUUCCCCCCAAAGUUAGUUUGGCCUAUGCCUAGGAAUGAACAAAGACAGCUUGGAGAUGAGAAGCAAGAUGGAGUCGGUUAGGUCAGAUCCCUUUCACCAUCUCAGUUAUAAUUUUGCAAUGGUGGUUUCAGUGCCUGGUACCUAGUCAGUAGGAACAGGUGGCACGUGACAUCCGGGGAAUCAUAGGGUUUAGAACAGAAUGAGCUAAUAGGCACAUUCAUUCAUGCCCCAAAUACAUGCACACAGCCCUAAAGAAAUUUCAGUCUGUUUUUCUAAACAAAAUCUCAGAGUAUUAUGUGCAGGGUUACCAAUGGAAAAAAAGCAGGUUUAGGGGAAACUUGAGCUUAAGUUCACGGUCAGAAACACCCGGAACUUCUUGGCAAAUGAGUGCUUUAUGGAAACCUGUUUGGCAGGGAACAAGGAGCCCCUAGAGAUGGAAUUCGCCAGAGGGGAGAGGGAUCCAGGCAUGGCCAGCUAGCUCUAGUGUUGAUUCCAAGUACAGCCUGUUGACUCUCUUGUGGCCUAGGCCCCAUAGGAUGCAUGCCUGUGUCCUGUAGAGAACAGAAGAGCUGUUUGGCUGAAGUCUCUAUGAUGCAUUGGUACACAUACCAUCCUGCUUGGGUACCCCUCUAAUGCAGUAUAACACAAAGGGGCCACGGAUGUUCUGCUCCUCUUGGCAGCUGAAUGGGUACAGCAUCAGCAGAGUGAGUCUUUUGGCUCAUCAACUGCAGCAGGAGACCUGGGGAUCCCAGCAGGACAUGGUCACAGUGGCUGUCCCAAGGGAAUGAGGUGCCUCAGGAGAAGUAGCAGACAGUGUAGGUGCCUGGCAGGAGCAAGGACGUUGAUGAGCACAGGCUAGGCACACCAUAGGGAUCCUCAGAAAGAUAUAGGGUACUUCACAGUGACCUUCCAGCCUGUGGGAAUUGAUGGAGACAAGAACCAGUGAUGUUUUGGUUAUCACCAUUAGUAUCACCCCAUUUUCCUCUUAGGCCUGUGAGGCCUUGAAUACAUGAAGGCUAUAUGCCUAUGGUCCCCAACCUCAGGGUGUUUCUUAUCACAUUGAGGCCAAUAGUUCCAAAUCACUUACUUCCUAUCCUACUACUCUUUUCACUAAACUCCUUUCCUAGGUUCCAGAGGUAUCUGCCCACAACUGACUGUACCACCUAACCAUUCACUCACACAUUUGUUCAGCUAGUGUGAGUGGCCUGUAGUGUGCUAGAUGCAGCGGAAGGCCCCUGGGGUGCACUUGACAAAUAGUCAUCACAUGCUAAGUGGUUAAGAGCUGGGGCUCUGGAGCCAUUUUGCUGGGUUCAAAUCUCACAUCUCCACCUAUUAGCAUUCAUUAAAAUGUCUUGAAGCACCUACUAUGCACCUUCUAUUGUGCUAUGUACUGGGGAUCAUAUUCCUCCUUUUUUAUUACUAACACUACUGAAACCUUCCUUACAAACUUUAUAAAAUUAAUCAGGGAAGCAGGGAAGGGGAGAAAUAAAAUAAGCCCAGCUUGCAGCACAUUCAGCAUGAACCAUGAGGUCAGCUUGUUCUCUGGCCUGCUUCUUCAUAAUUAUUUAGUGUCUGUUAUCUCAGAAUCACGUAGACCCAGUUACAAUAUUAUAGUUCCCCUUAACUGCUCUAUAGUUAACAACUUGAACAUAAAACAUUGUGUUUUCCACUUGGAGUAUUCUUUCAGGUCCUGCAUACCAGUGAAAUUACUAAUGUCAGCUGUUCUGAAGGACCCAUUGACACCAGCUGGUCUGAGGGCCCCACUAUGACCCUGUCCUGCUGCCCCCCCAGGUCUCCUACUGUAGCUGACCAGAAGUUGACUCACCAAAGAAUGCAGUUCCCAAAUCCUGAUACUUUCAUCCCCCUUAUCCCACCAAUGGACAACCCCAGUUAUCUAGCCCCUCACCUCCAUGAUCUCCUUAAAAACCCCAGCCCAGCACUCCACUGGGAGAUAGAUUUGAGGGACUCCUCCUCACUGCAGCUCUCCUCCCCCUCACUUGGUGCCCUGUGAUCUGAUUCUUUCUGUGCUGCACAUCCUUGUAUCUCAAUGUAACUAGUCUCUUAUACACAGUAGGCAUACAGUCUGUUGGUUCUAUGCAUCUGCUACUGCUACUGCUAGAUGUGUGACCUUAAGCAAGUUACUUAAUCCCUGUGGGCCUUAGUUUCAUCAUCUGUAAAACUGGGUUGUUAAAUGAUUCUCUAUCCCAUAGGGUUUCUGUGAGAGGUACAUGAGUUAAUACAGGCCAUGUGCUUAGAACAAUGCCUGGAGCAUUAUCAAUACCUAGUAAGUAUUAUUAACUAUUACUACUACUAUGAUUCGUAUGUGUUAGACCAGGUCCUCUAAACCUUGAUUGUGUGUAGAAAUUGCCUGGUGAUCUUGUUUAAACAGGAUAGGGGCUGAGAUCUGCAGUGACAUCCCUUUAUGGACUGUGGCCACACUGAGUAGAAAAGUGCAGACACUUCAUUAAAUGCUGGGAUGCAGCAGAGCACCAGUGGUACCUAGUCACCAGACUCAAGGAGCUUAUCACCCAAGGGGAAUAAGGGUCAAUAAACAAAAUCAUCAUGUAAAUUCUCAUUGUGAUAAGUGCCAUAAGAAGUAAAGGGUGAAAAGCAAAGGUAGCACAGGGUGCCAUGGAAGUCUAGUCUCAAACACUGGAAGUCUUCCCUGAUGAUGUGGUGUUUAAGAAGAGACUUGGGGGGUGAGUGGGCAUUGGACAGUUAAAGAGGGAGGUGGAGAAAGAGCGAAUGGCAUGGGCAGUCAGGAAGGAGCCUGGUAUGGAGGAGGAACCAGCAGAACACCAAGUUUGUCUGCUGCAUGGAGAACAAAAGGUAAGCAGUGCA
This 3812-nucleotide long non-coding RNA is filed under the name Homo sapiens (human). Its description in RNAcentral is "non-protein coding lnc-DRD2-1:6". Lineage: Eukaryota; Metazoa; Chordata; Mammalia; Primates; Hominidae. The record is from RNAcentral.